UAAGCAUAUCAAUAAGCGGAGGAAAAGAAACUAACAAGGAUUCCCCUAGUAGCGGCGAGCGAAGCGGGAAGAGCUCAAAUUUAUAAUCUGGCACCUUCGGUGUCCGAGUUGUAAUCUCUAGAAAUGUUUUCCGCGUUGGACCGCACACAAGUCUGUUGGAAUACAGCGGCAUAGUGGUGAGACCCCCGUAUAUGGUGCGGACGCCCAGCGCUUUGUGAUACAUUUUCGAAGAGUCGAGUUGUUUGGGAAUGCAGCUCAAAUUGGGUGGUAAAUUCCAUCUAAAGCUAAAUAUUGGCGAGAGACCGAUAGCGAACAAGUACCGUGAGGGAAAGAUGAAAAGCACUUUGGAAAGAGAGUUAACAGUACGUGAAAUUGUUGGAAGGGAAACGCUUGAAGUCAGACUUGCUUGCCGAGCAAUCCGUUUGCAGGCCAGCAUCAGUUUUCCGGGAUGGAUAAUGGUAGAGAGAAGGUAGCAGUUUAAGCUGUGUUAUAACUCUCUGCCGACUGCAUCUUGGGGGACUGAGGAACCCAGUGUGCCUUUGGCGGGGGUUUCGACCUCUUCACACUUAGGAUGCUGGUGGAAUGGCUUAAACGACCCGUCUGAAACACGGACCCAAG
This 618-nucleotide ribosomal RNA is filed under the name Rhodotorula mucilaginosa. RNAcentral's name for it is "LSU rRNA". It matches the Rfam family "Eukaryotic large subunit ribosomal RNA", at positions 35 to 671 of the family's 3401-position model. Lineage: Eukaryota; Fungi; Basidiomycota; Microbotryomycetes; Sporidiobolales; Sporidiobolaceae. The record is from RNAcentral.